This 126-nucleotide ribosomal RNA is filed under the name uncultured bacterium. RNAcentral's name for it is "partial 16S ribosomal RNA". It matches the Rfam family "Bacterial small subunit ribosomal RNA", at positions 232 to 353 of the family's 1533-position model. The record is from RNAcentral.
UGCGUCUGAUUAGCUGGUUGGAGGGGGUAACGGGCCCACCAAGGCGACGAUCAGUAGCCGGUCUGAGAGGAUGAACGGCCACACUGGAACUGAGACACGGUCCAGACUCCUACGGGAGGCAGCAUG